Molecule: non-coding RNA, 82 nt
Organism: Xylaria nigripes
Lineage: Eukaryota; Fungi; Ascomycota; Sordariomycetes; Xylariales; Xylariaceae
Source: the annotation of a GenBank genome assembly
GGCUGGUUGGCCUAAUGGUAAGGCGUUGCUUUCCGGUCUUCGGACAUGGCAAAGAUUGCGGGUUCGAGUCCCGUGCUGGUCG